This is a long non-coding RNA of Wasmannia auropunctata (little fire ant), 275 nucleotides long. RefSeq lists it as uncharacterized. The record is from RefSeq and is a predicted model, not a curated record. Lineage: Eukaryota; Metazoa; Arthropoda; Insecta; Hymenoptera; Formicidae. The transcript has 2 exons.
GUCUCUAUUAUUGUUUUCAGCCCUAGCAGCACGUACCGGCGCAUCGCCAGUAUAUAUAUUCCCGCAAUGUGAUAUUCUACAAUUAAUUACAGAUUGUGCAGUGCGUGCAGGCGAGGCAGCAGCACAUGUGUCCCCGCAGUGUAACAAUACACCCCACUAACAGCAACAGGGGCCACUGCUCUAUUACCUCGCAUAUUAUCUCAUAUCGUUAAGCUAAGCUACAAUAUGUUUCUUAUAUCAGAUAUGAGCAAUAAACGUCCAGGCUUUAAUUAAAA